GUUUCUAUCUAUGACAUGUUUUCUUUCAGUACGAAAGGAUCAAAGAAAAAAGGCCCAUGCUUAAAGUAAGCCUUACCCCAACCUAAUGAAAACAAAUCAAUUAGGUAAAAGGCAUAUCUUCCAAACCGGAGAUAACGAC
Molecule: ribosomal RNA, 139 nt
Filed under: Poecilia reticulata (guppy)
Lineage: Eukaryota; Metazoa; Chordata; Actinopteri; Cyprinodontiformes; Poeciliidae
Description: partial 16S ribosomal RNA
Source: RNAcentral